GUCAUCAUGAUCAGAAUUACAAUAAGCCCCAACAUUGGAUGAGCACUGCCUGAGCCUUGGCCCUGAAAUGGCUUUUCAUUGAUGGCAGCUUCCACCAAUCACCUUCACUCUCACUCCUCCAUUCAUCUUCUCCGCAUAGGCUGAGAAGACUGUGACUAAACUCAUAUCCACUGGGAUUAAACCUGCUGACGCUUCCCAAAUGCUGGAACACGCUCGUCAGCACAUGUCGUUGCAUUGUGUCUGCUUCCGUUAGGGGUCACCACAGCGGACCAUCCGUGAUCCUCAUAUUUGACUUGGUACAGGUUUUACAGUGGAUGCCUUACCUGACACAACCCCCCGUGGCUGGGGGACUCACACCUACGGGGCAAUUUAAAGUCUCCAAUUCACUUAUCCUGCAUGUUUUUGGACGUGUGGGGAAAACCAGAACACCCGGAGGAAACCCAUGCGAACACGAGGAGAACAUGCAAACUCCACCCAGUUGAGCCAGGACUCAAACCUGGGACCUUCUUGCUGUGAGGCGACAGUGCUAGCCACUGAGCAUAAUUUGUACUAUUUACAAGUACUUACAUUGAUUUGUUGAACACGUGCUAAAACUGGUACUGUCUUUUUAACAAAACUGCCGUUUCUGUAAAGAGCAUCUGUAUGAGAGCAUGUUAAAAA
Molecule: long non-coding RNA, 660 nt
Organism: Xyrauchen texanus (razorback sucker)
Lineage: Eukaryota; Metazoa; Chordata; Actinopteri; Cypriniformes; Catostomidae
Exons: 3
Source: RefSeq, a predicted model, not a curated record